CUCACUUGACAGUUGCCAUGGUUCUGAUCCUGGGCUUGCACUGAUAUCGUCUUGUACCGUUCUAGGUACAACACAUAUCAAUGUUUUUCAUACAAUAUGAAAUACAUAAAUCAUAUCAAUGUUUUUCAUAUAAUAUGAAAUACAUAAAUCACCUUUAUGCGUAUGCAUAAAGGAUUCUUAUUUACGCAUUAUUUCUUUGGGAGUCAAAGGGUACGUUCCCUUUGAGAAUGGCAACUUGCUAGUCACACUAGAGUCAUCCUUCUAAUUGAAGUUUAUCAUCAUAUGAGAAACUUCCUAGCAACUUUUGUCUAUUAUUAGGGAUUGAUAUAAUCAAAUUAUAUCUUGAAAUCUAUCAAUAUAGAUUUCCAUCCCAUGUAUUUAG
RNAcentral lists this long non-coding RNA (382 nucleotides) under Malus domestica (apple). Its description in RNAcentral is "long non-coding RNA (MDOM_LNC015522)". The record is from RNAcentral. Lineage: Eukaryota; Viridiplantae; Streptophyta; Magnoliopsida; Rosales; Rosaceae.